AGCAGUCGCCGCGGGAAUACGGAGGGUGCAAGCGUUACUCGGAAUCACUGGGCGUAAAGGACGCGUAGGCGGAUUAUCAAGUCUCUUGUGAAAUCUAACGGCUUAACCGUUAAACUGCUUGGGAAACUGAUAAUCUAGAGUAAGGGAGAGGCAGAUGGAAUUCUUGGUGUAGGGGUAAAAUCCGUAGAGAUCAAGAAGAAUACCUAUUGCGAAGGCGAUCUGCUGGAACUUAACUGACGCUAAUGCGUGAAAGCGUGGGAAGCAAACAGGAUUAGAUACCCCGGUAGUCCCUGUCUCUUAUAC
This 303-nucleotide ribosomal RNA is filed under the name uncultured bacterium. RNAcentral describes it as "partial 16S ribosomal RNA". It matches the Rfam family "Bacterial small subunit ribosomal RNA", at positions 507 to 807 of the family's 1533-position model. The record is from RNAcentral.